UGUUGAAGGUUUCAUCCAUUUAUACUGUUAAACUAGCGUGGUUGACGAAAUAAUCGGAUGGUUACACGUAAAGGGUCAUAUGUACCUUAUACUAACCUGCAGAGACUAGUUUUUAACAAGAGAAAUGGAUGAAAUUUUUAAUA
Molecule: microRNA precursor, 143 nt
Filed under: Gossypium arboreum
Lineage: Eukaryota; Viridiplantae; Streptophyta; Magnoliopsida; Malvales; Malvaceae
Description: MIR7502 microRNA precursor family
Rfam family: MIR7502 microRNA precursor family
Source: Rfam by way of RNAcentral